This is a small nucleolar RNA of Nannospalax galili (Upper Galilee mountains blind mole rat), 128 nucleotides long. NCBI's taxonomy places the organism in Eukaryota, Metazoa, Chordata, Mammalia, Rodentia, Spalacidae. The record is from Ensembl.
AGUACUGGCAUGUGGUUUUUGUUGAACUUGUAGACAAAGACUUACAAACAGGUGCAAAAAUAAGCAUUCUUUUGCAACCCAGAACUCACUGUUAAAUAUGAGUUUUGAUACACUGCCAAAGGAAUAUG